CGUGCCAGCAGCCGCGGUAAUACGUAGGGUGCGAGCGUUAAUCGGAAUUACUGGGCGUAAAGCGUGCGCAGGCGGUUUUGUAAGACAGGCGUGAAAUCCCCGGGCUUAACCUGGGAACUGCGUUUGUGACUGCAAGGCUAGAGUACGGCAGAGGGGGGUGGAAUUCCACGUGUAGCAGUGAAAUGCGUAGAGAUGUGGAGGAACACCAAUGGCGAAGGCAGCCCCCUGGGUCGAUACUGACGCUCAUGCACGAAAGCGUGGGUAGCAAACAGGAUUAGAUACCCUGGUAGUCCACGCCCUAAACUAUGUCAACUAGGUGUUGGGUGGGUAAAACCAUUUAGUACCGUAGCUAACGCGUGAAGUUGACCGCCUGGGGAGUACGGCCGCAAGGUUAAAACUCAAAGGAAUUGACGGGGACCCGCACAAGCGGUGGAUGAUGUGGAUUAAUUCGAUGCAACGCGAAAAACCUUACCUACCCUUGACAUGCCAGGAACUUGCCAGAGAUGGCUUGGUGCCCGAAAGGGAGCCUGG
RNAcentral lists this ribosomal RNA (531 nucleotides) under uncultured beta proteobacterium. RNAcentral describes it as "bacterial SSU rRNA". It matches the Rfam family "Bacterial small subunit ribosomal RNA", at positions 504 to 1031 of the family's 1533-position model. Lineage: Bacteria; Pseudomonadati; Pseudomonadota; Betaproteobacteria. The record is from RNAcentral.